RNAcentral lists this long non-coding RNA (220 nucleotides) under Lathyrus oleraceus (garden pea). RNAcentral describes it as "Pisum sativum (pea) long non-coding RNA (PSAT_LNC037274)". The record is from RNAcentral. Lineage: Eukaryota; Viridiplantae; Streptophyta; Magnoliopsida; Fabales; Fabaceae.
UUGAAUGUUUAAUACUUUCGUUUCUGAGAUGAAUGCCAUAGGGUUUGGAUCCUUUAAAAUCGUACUUCUAUCCCUGAAAAAUCCAAAACCCGCAGGCGCUCGCUAGCCGCUUCGCUAGGCGAGCGUGCCGCGAAGCUUCGCUAAGCUUUCGCUAGGCGAUGCAGUCGCGAAUAUGACAGUAUUUGCUUUUUUUUGUUCUUUUUACUCUAACCUGUCUUGU